This is a non-coding RNA of Nelumbo nucifera (sacred lotus), 552 nucleotides long. NCBI's taxonomy places the organism in Eukaryota, Viridiplantae, Streptophyta, Magnoliopsida, Proteales, Nelumbonaceae. The record is from RefSeq and is a predicted model, not a curated record.
AGUUCCUGUUUAAAAUGUAUUAGAGCUUAGGAUGGAUUAAUUUAGAGCCCGUUUAGUGCCCGUCUUGAAAAGACACGAAAAAUCCAUCUUGGGCUGAUUUCGGGAAGAUCUUAUAGCUUCCUGGCUUUUACGCCCUCUCGGGGCUUCGUCAUACGUGCAAUUGUCCACGCGCGCACCCAAGUGAACAUUUUGCCCCAAAACCCUCGAUUCUAAUUCGUUCGCACAUCGUUUGGUGCACCCAUUCUCACUUCGCACCACAGCAGGAGCUUAUACAUCCUUCAACACUUGGUUUUCUCACGGCGAAGGUCGUCCAUCGGUUCGUGGUUUGCGUAGGUACAACUCACAUCACCAUCUGGCUUGUUAGGGUUUCUUUUUUUUUGUUUCACCUUUUGUUGUUUGACAUGGAUUAAAGUGAAUAGAUCCAUUCCAUUUUCUUGCAAUUCAAACUUCUUUUUUUUUUUUGGUUCUGUAUGGAUUAAAGUGAAUAGACCCGUUCCAAUUUUUUUGUGCUCUGUGGUUUGAUAUGGCAACCACUAUUUUUUUUUGUGUUUU